CAUAUGGAGAUAUGCGAGUUUUCUGUUUGAUCUAUGUCCUGGUUUCGUGCCCUUGCUGCAAUGGUAGUGUAACGACAUACUCCUACCGGUCGGUUUCCGCCAUCGGAGUUAAGUGAUACACGUAAAUCCAGUUGCAGUGAGCGAAGAUCAAUAUGAUUGGUCGAAUUGAAACCCAGGGUCAUACGCCAGGCGCAUUAGAUGUGCAAUGGUAGAUGAGAUCUACUGCCGGGGUCGGGAUUUUUACCGUAUGCGUAUGCUUCGG
RNAcentral lists this long non-coding RNA (262 nucleotides) under Setaria viridis. Its description in RNAcentral is "long non-coding RNA (SVIR_LNC001577)". Lineage: Eukaryota; Viridiplantae; Streptophyta; Magnoliopsida; Poales; Poaceae. The record is from RNAcentral.